AAGAAGCCCAGGCUAGGGAACAGAAGAGGGAGGCUGAGAGAACAGAUAUCAGGCAGAUGAACCUGUAGGAGGUAUGGAAGGCUAUUUUGCACGAGGGACACAAUAGUGAUCAGAACUCAGCAGCAGUGAAGGGACAUGUUGUUUGGGGCAGCUGGUGCACAAUGGGUUAAGUCCAAGAAUGUGAAGCCAACUUCAGUGAUGUUGGUUUCCAUGUAUGCCUUCUAUAAUAGAUAAUAUUGAAGGGUAUAUUUGCUUCUGUCUUUUGCAUACAAGCCUCUUCCACACUUCUUGGGACAAAGCCCUUCUCACCUCCUAUCAAUACUGCAGCUUGUCAAGAACUUUUUGGAUCUUGACUCCAAAGUGUUCACUAUCAUUCCCAGCUCUGUUAUCUAUACAUUUGCUUUGUUGUCGCUCAAUUGGGAGUAUUACACCAGUAAGGAUCUAAAGAGCAAGGGAAAAGCAUGUAGCAAGGACUCUAAAGACCACUUGUUAUGUCAGGCCAUCUGCACCAUGACUCAUUUUAAAGGCUGUCUUCAUUGCUGGGUGGCUUCUGGGUACCUGAGUGUUAGAACUGGUUGCUUCAUGGAGGUACAGGAGUUCUGAUGAAGUCUGAAGACAGUAGAAUGGAACCCAUGUUUGCUCCCGAAUGGAAGCCCUUUUACUGAGGGGGUAAUCCUCCUUUUGCCCCACCAUCCAACCCCUCAAGGAAUAUACUUGGAUUCCUGUGUCCUGACUGAAAAAAAUAAAAACACUGUUCAC
Non-coding RNA from Monodelphis domestica (gray short-tailed opossum), 759 nucleotides. The record is from RefSeq and is a predicted model, not a curated record. NCBI's taxonomy places the organism in Eukaryota, Metazoa, Chordata, Mammalia, Didelphimorphia, Didelphidae.